UGUCUUAUAGAUAAUAUGUUAGCUACUCUGGAUCCACAGUCACACCGUGUGUGUCAGUGUGGCAAACAAGUAGUUGUGAGGUGUCUGGACUGCCUGCCUCUCCCAUUCCUUUGUGCUGACUGUGAUAUUGCAGUUCACACACGCUUUGUCCUGCACAACAGAGAGGCAGUAACAGGAGGGUUUUUGCAGCCUUCAUCACAGUUUAGUUCGGCUGUUGCCUGUGCAAAGGCCAGAACAUGUGUGUGACUGCCCAGCAGGUAACGUUGAGGUUUCACGCGGCGCAAUUGUGGCUCUUGUAAC
Molecule: long non-coding RNA, 300 nt
Organism: Astatotilapia calliptera (eastern happy)
Lineage: Eukaryota; Metazoa; Chordata; Actinopteri; Cichliformes; Cichlidae
Source: Ensembl